Molecule: ribosomal RNA, 405 nt
Filed under: uncultured bacterium
Lineage: Bacteria
Description: bacterial SSU rRNA
Rfam family: Bacterial small subunit ribosomal RNA
Source: RNAcentral
ACUCCUACGGGAGGCAGCAGUGGGGAAUAUUGCACAAUGGGGGGAAACCCUGAUGCAGCCAUGCCGCGUGUGUGAAGAAGGCCUUCGGGUUGUAAAGCACUUUCAGUAGGGAGGAAGGUAGUGUAGUUAACACCUGCAUUAUUUGUACGUUACCUACAGAAGAAGCACCGGCUAACUCCGUGCCAGCAGCCGCGGUAAUACGGGAGGGUGCGAGCGUUAAUCGGAAUUACUGGGCGUAAAGCGCAUGCAGGCGGCCUGUUAAGUCAGAUGUGAAAGCCCGGGGUCUUAACCUCGGAAUUGCAUUUGAAACUGGCGAGGCUAGAGUCUUGGUAGAGGGGGUUAGAAUUUCGAGGUGUAGCGGUGAAAUGCGUAGAGAUCUGAAGGAAUACCGAGUGGCGAAGGCGG